Long non-coding RNA from Daphnia pulicaria, 1013 nucleotides. RefSeq lists it as uncharacterized. The transcript is spliced from 6 exons. Lineage: Eukaryota; Metazoa; Arthropoda; Branchiopoda; Diplostraca; Daphniidae. The record is from RefSeq and is a predicted model, not a curated record.
UGCUUCUGCAUUUUCUAGUCGCGCCGACCUUUUUUCAUCGGUUUUACUAGGUUUUACUAAAUUUAUUAUUCAAUUAACGCUUUCUUAAACGACGAGACAAUUAAUUUAUUUUCAAGUUAGAAGCCGAAUCAUAGCACAUUUUUGUUUAGGCUAAGGAAGCUUUGCUUCAUCAUAGCAACAAUCUCAGAAUCAUCAAUUAGCAUCCCUCUUGAAGUCUUGAUUAAGGAAAUGCACACAUCCCCUGACUGUGGAAGAAGACGAGAUCCAGAUCACCCCAUGGCUUUCAGGUGAAACGAGCACCUGUCUUGAUGCCAACUUGAAAAUGGUUUUUAUCGACUGAAAAUGUUCAAUAUUCGUGAUCCCGUAAUCGACCAGCUCACCUCCAAUUAGCAUCUAAUCAUUUGAUGUGGCUGCCGUUUUUGAAUCGACAGGCGGUACUAUUGCAGAAGAUUUGGCACCUAACGAAAUCCUCGAAUUUGUUUUGAAAGAUGACGUGGAAUGGACUAAUUAUCUUUUAGUGCUUGAACGAAUAUCUGUUAUUUGACAGCCAUCGAUAAUCCGGGCCGUAGGAAAAGAACUCGUCUGUGCCGAUUUGGAGAAAAACCGCAGUUUAGCUGAGGCUUGGUCUGUUCUCGUUUCUGCUAUUGACAAUCUUCAAUCCAAUACUUGGCCCCUUAUCACUAGCAAAGUGUACAUGUCAUUACAUUUCGGACGUGUCGAAGAAGCUGAUGCAUGCGGAAAUCCCGGGAAAUCCUGACCGGGCUACACGCGUCCAACGUCACGUGUUUGGUUUGCUCAAAGCCAUCAUCGCACGUAUCAAAAAUCCGUUGUUAUGAUAAUGAAAACAUUUGGACAACACCACCAAAAAGUGGACCAACAAAUCUUUUCGAAAAAGUCAGGUAUUACACUUAGCGCCUCUUAAGGUUUUCCUCUGAGGUUGUGACGAUCGGCUCGGUUUGAUGACACUGUCUUCCAGAUCAAAAACUAUUUUCAUUCUUUUUGAAGGUGGUGAC